GACACGGCCCGGGGACACGGCCCGGGGACAGCGCCACACGGCACCCCCGCCGCGCCCCCGCCACACGGAGAGCUGUCCCGAGGGCACCCGCGGUGGCGGCUGCUUCUGGGAGUGGGGACAAAGUGUCUGCCGGAUGAAGCUGAAGAAAGAAAAUAAUAAUUGGCGCCUUUAUAGGAAGUUUCUGGGAAAUUAGGGUUUUAAUUCGGAUGAGUUUUGAUUUAGAACAUUUCACCCGAAGGUUUCUGGCUCUUUGAACAUCACUGAAUCGUACUUUCAUUUUACCAGUGGGGAGAUGGGGAAGAAGCCAGGGAGGGACGUGGUAUGGACUCGGCAAAGGCCACAGUGCUGAAUUUCAAUGAAAAGUCCAUUAAUGUGAUUAAUGAACAGGCCCAUGGGCCCAAAAUCCCCACGGGGCAAUGCUAGAUCCCUUAAAUCCCUAAAUCCCCUCAGGACAGAGGGGUUCCACAGCUGAAGGGACCCUCACGGGGCACACAGCCCUUUGGCUUGUCUCUUCCUGCAUCCUUUAUGAAUAUGAGAAAUUGUUCAUACAAAACCUCCGAAAUGUCUGGUUUCUUGCCCAUCAUUGCUGUGGCCAAAAGCUCUUGCCUGGCACUGGGGAAGAAAUUACACAGGUGGCAAUUCCUAUUUCAGGGCAGAAAAACAAUCAAAAGUCCUUUAUGGGAAAAAUAAAGACUUUGUUCCUGCAGAAGCACGUAUGAUUCAGUAGCUUAAGCAGGUUCAGUGGCCUGAGGAGGGGUUUCAGGAGAGUGUGUGCAGCUGGAGCCAGCCACCCUUGGCUUCAUAUGGAAUGCUGCUGGAAAAACAAAGUGAAAAAGGGAAUUUUUUUUUAUUUUCAUUUUUUAUUUUGUAAAACCUUUUACAAACCCACAUUUCAUCGGGCAUUACUGCUUGCAAUGUAGAGAAAAUCACUAUUUAUAAGUCCACAUAUAACUGCCUUCCACAAAGCCCACCAAAACAAACAAUUGGUGUCAUGGUCAGCACAGGACUUUUCUGGAGUGUUAGCUGUCCUGCUGUGUCAGAGCUGCGAGCAGAGUGCAUCUCCUGGGCUGGCAGGGGCUGAGGAAUCCUUCAGCCUGUUCUGUUCUGCUCCUGCCUUUUUGUGUCUUCCACAGCCUCUGGGGAGCAAUUCCAGCACUUCUCCAGUGUGCUGAGACAAGGGCAAAGGCCCCUAAGCCCCUGAGACCCUCUGAGAUGUCAGGCCCAAAGAGAUGGGGAUCAGUGACAGCGAGGAACAUGAAGAACAUUCCAUUGGUCUGAUAUCUCCAGGAGUUUCCAUUUGCCUUCAUGCGGAUGAUUCCCAGGCUUUGCCUAGCCCUGCUCCUGGAUUUUGGGAUUGGCUGGAAACACAAGGAAGCUGAGUGAAAAUUUCUUUGGUACCAAGAAUUCACCCUUUUUUCUCAAGUGACUUCAUGUUUUCCUUGUUUCAUGAGACCCUUCUUAAACCAGCUGCACUGAACUUCCUUCUCCAGCCUCAUCUUCCCCAAAAGCAACCCCCAGCACAGAGACACCAUAGCACUGCUUCCUAAAAACUUCCAAAACUUCCCACUCCUGUUGCUGUUCUUGUCAUGUCAGAUUGUCCCUCAGCAUUCUUGGCUUGUUUGGUUUGAUCUGUAUUAUGCACAUUAGUACCAGGCACGUCUCAAAUCCCUCAGCAAACAAAAACAGCCAAAUGCUGUUUUCCAAAACCCAACUUUGCUGGAAGCACAAUACUGAGGUGUCCCACCAAGAUCUGCUCAAGCCAUCCAAGCUGUGACUUUCUGCUCUGGGAUUGAGAGAUCCCACAGGGACAGCUUCCCUGUGCCUAACCACAAAGGGAGUUUGCCAACCAGCCCUCCCUUCCUCAGCAGCUGAGGCCUGCACAUGCACUUCACUCUUCAGAGCACACUGCUUCCCAUGGCUUCUAGUGCUUCUGCUCACUGCUGGGAAAGACCAGAACUGCUUCAGUCUCCACAUUAUUAAAAUUAACCCUAAUUCUCUUAGAAUAACCUUGUCAUAAGGGUAAGGAAGGAAAAGGAAAGGGGAGCUGAAGGGACACCAGGGUGACAGGACACAACCAAAGACCUUUUUGAGGCAUCUCUGCUGGAGACCAGCAGUUGAAGGACCCCCAGGUGGCCUUGGCAUCCAUUGGCAGAGGGGAAAAGGGAAUAAUGUGAUGUGGAGGGGUGAAAAACACAGGGCAGCUCCGGACCUGCCACAUCACAUCCCUGCAGCAGUGUGCUGCAGGCUGACCUCCAGAGCUGAGCUUACUGCACAGCCUGGGUGCUCCUGGGUCCUGCCCAGGCUCUGUACAGCAUAAACAACACAGGAGAAGCUGUGGCUGCCCCAUCCCUGGAAGUGCCCAAGGCCAGGCUGGACAGGCCUGGAGCAACCUGCCAUAUGGGAACGUGUCCCUGCCCAGAGCAGAGGCUGGAACUGGAUAGUCUCUAAGGUGCCCUCCAACCCAAACAAUCCUGUAAUUUUUUUGUCUUUCUGUUUGUGGAACUCAUCCAGGAGCAGACCCUCAGUUUGUUUGGGAUGCUGAAGCUUUGCUGCAAAGCAAUGACGUAGACUGAUACCAGAGCGCCUGCAGGGAAGGAGGGCUGCCUGCAGCAGAAACAGGUGUUUAAGCUGCCUCACUGUCCACAACAGAGCACAAAGGCAUUUGAUAUCACGACAAUCAAAAUGGCCAUGAUCAAGCAGAACACUUCAGACCAUGCUUUAUUUUAAUCUUCUGGAUAACUGCUAUGAAAUUAUAAUUUGGGAUAUAGGAGUGCCCUCUUGAAUCAAGACCAAAAUCUUUUAUUCCCAAACAUAUACACGGUACCCAGAUCAGAAGCUGGUGAAUUCAGGAGCAUUUUAAUCUUUCGAAGUGUUUUGUGACAUUUCAUGCAAAGUUCUGCACUGACAAUGACUCAUCCACAUGUUUUGCAGCUGUUCAUAGAGAACCUCCAUGCCCAAGGGAGAGAUCUGGGCUGGGACAGACCAGAAACCCCCAGACCAUUUCCAGAGGUUCAACCCAUCAAACUGCCUCCUUCCCUUCCCACGGAGCCUGGAGAGGUCUGCUCCAGGAUACCUUUACACACUCUCCAUCCGAGGUCCGUGACCAGCUCUAGUGCUGAUGACAGAGAAUAAGCAGAUUUGGUGUCCCUGUGGUGAAGUCUCCUCCCGGUGGCACAGAACAGGCACAGAUGUACCAUUGUGCUUGCCCUGUCCCAGCUGAGGGCAUGGAUGCCCUUGGAACAGGAAAUGCUGCUGAGGGUCCUGUCAGUGGGAGUGCUGUGCUCCUCUCAUGGGUGGCUGCACUUCAGCAGAGCACGAAAACACCUCUGUCCUCACUCAGCCCACCAUACUUCACUGGGCUGCUCUGGGAUCCACGGCUCUCGGGAACAAUUAGUCCAAUUAUCUGCCCUGUGGCCCUGACCACCCCAUGAUCAGCCCAUGCCAUCGAGUGCCAGAGGGUGGCACAAACAGUGUCACAGGGUGCCUGGGGAGCAAGGUCGGGGUGAGUGGUGUGAUCACCAAAUCAAAGAGCCAGACAACCAUAAACAGACAUACAUAUAUAAUAUGUACAGUGGCCAUGGGUGCAUGUGCACCAUGAAGGAAAUCAUCACAUUUUAGACUGCAGAAAAUGAUCAAACUCUGAAUUUUUUUAGUGCCAAGUGUAUCUAACUAGCCAGCAAAAAGAACAGGAAAUGUCCAGAUGUGGGCUGAAUGACCUGGUGCAGAUGUCAGCUGGGGUAUUCUUCCCUUCUCAAUUUCAGACACAAAGUGCAAGAGCAUUCUUUUAUUUUCACUACAUGCUGUGGACAGAAAUUUAUCUCAGUAGUGUUUGGUUUGGUUUCUACUUUUUCUCUCACUCUCUUCAGCUUUUCCAAUAGAUUCACUGGGACUAAAACACAGAGCUAAGGUACAGCCAUUAAUUCAGUCAGCAGAAAUUUCCAAGCCUCUCAGUAGGAAUGAGCCAGGCUUUUGGAACAGACUGAGAUAAUGCAGUGGAAGGAGAGCUCUGAACCCAUCCAAAUGUGGUCUUCAGUCCAUGAUCUGUAUUUUUUCACUGUGGAGUACUGCUAAGAUAUCUCCAAAAAGUGUCUAAGAAAGUUAAACCUACUACCAUUAAUCAGAAAUUCACCACUGAGGAGGUUGAACCUCUGUAGGAAAACUACUGGGGGUGCACAAGUUGUUAAGAGGAAGAAGUUAUUAAACCUGUUGAAAACCCGUGGUUACAAAAUCAAACUGCCAAUGAGUCUGCACAACAACUGGAUUCAAAAUAUUUACUGCCAAAAUUCAAGGUAUGUAGUGACGUGGACACAGGAACUUCCCUGGGACG
Passer domesticus (house sparrow) is the source of this 4327-nucleotide long non-coding RNA. RefSeq lists it as uncharacterized. The transcript is spliced from 2 exons. The record is from RefSeq and is a predicted model, not a curated record. NCBI's taxonomy places the organism in Eukaryota, Metazoa, Chordata, Aves, Passeriformes, Passeridae.